AUUGAACGCUGGCGGCAUGCCUUACACAUGCAAGUCGAACGGCAGCACGGGUGCUUGCACCUGGUGGCGAGUGGCGAACGGGUGAGUAAUACAUCGGAACAUGUCCUGUAGCGGGGGAUAGCCCGGCGAAAGCCGGAUUAAUACCGCAUACGAUCUACGGAUGAAAGCGGGGGACCUUCGGGCCUCGCGCUAUAGGGUUGGCCGAUGGCUGAUUAGCUAGUUGGUGGGGUAAAGGCCUACCAAGGCGACGAUCAGUAGCUGGUCUGAGAGGACGACCAGCCAAACUGGGACUGAGACACGGCCCAGACUCCUACGGGAGGCAGCAGUGGGGAAUUUUGGACAAUGGGCGAAAGCCUGAUCCAGCAAUGCCGCGUGUGUGAAGAAGGCCUUCGGGUUGUAAAGCACUUUUGUCCGGAAAGAAAUCCUUGGCCCUAAUACGGUCGGGGGAUGACGGUACCGGAAGAAUAAGCACCGGCUAACUACGUG
Molecule: ribosomal RNA, 486 nt
Filed under: uncultured bacterium
Lineage: Bacteria
Description: partial 16S ribosomal RNA
Rfam family: Bacterial small subunit ribosomal RNA
Source: RNAcentral